Non-coding RNA from Paramuricea clavata, 75 nucleotides. The record is from the annotation of a GenBank genome assembly. NCBI's taxonomy places the organism in Eukaryota, Metazoa, Cnidaria, Anthozoa, Malacalcyonacea, Plexauridae.
GACCGCGUAGCUCAGUUGGUAGAGCAUUGGGCGCUAGUAUUCCAAAGGUCGUAGGUUCGAAUCCCACCGUGGUCA